RNAcentral lists this ribosomal RNA (433 nucleotides) under uncultured bacterium. Its description in RNAcentral is "partial 16S ribosomal RNA". It matches the Rfam family "Bacterial small subunit ribosomal RNA", at positions 29 to 507 of the family's 1533-position model. The record is from RNAcentral.
AGCGAACGCUGGCGGCAGGCCUAACACAUGCAAGUCGAACGAACUCUUCGGAGUUAGUGGCGGACGGGUGAGUAACACGUGGGAACGUGCCUUUAGGUUCGGAAUAACUCAGGGAAACUUGAGCUAAUACCGGAUGUGCCCUUCGGGGGAAAGAUUUAUCGCCUUUAGAGCGGCCCGCGUCUGAUUAGCUAGUUGGUGAGGUAAAGGCUCACCAAGGCGACGAUCAGUAGAUGGUCUGAGAGGAUGAUCAGCCACAUUGGGACUGAGACACGGCCCAAACUCCUACGGGAGGCAGCAGUGGGGAAUCGUGCGCAAUGGGCGAAAGCCUGACGCAGCCAUGCCGCGUGAAUGAUGAAGGUCUUAGGAUUGUAAAAUUCUUUCACCGGGGACGAUAAUGACGGUACCCGGAGAAGAAGCCCCGGCUAACUUCGUG